RNAcentral lists this long non-coding RNA (1314 nucleotides) under Vigna radiata. RNAcentral describes it as "long non-coding RNA (VRAD_LNC001436)". Lineage: Eukaryota; Viridiplantae; Streptophyta; Magnoliopsida; Fabales; Fabaceae. The record is from RNAcentral.
ACGGAUGGAAACUAAGUUAGGGUUAGUUAUUUGUAAAAAAAUAACUGCUUUAAAAAUCAGUUCUGUAUUAGAACUCAAAUAACACUUUUAGAAAACAAUGCUGUGUUAGAAACUGUAGGAUGGUAGUCAUGCAUAGAAAAUAACUGCUGGUAGUUAUUUACUAGGAAUUUAGGAGCAUACAUCUGGUAAUAUGUUUUGUCAUUUGGCAAUGUGAAGUCACUUUUAGUUUGUGGAUAGAGAAUACUUUCUGUAGGAGUUUUCUUUCUAUGUGACAUCAAGUGUAUUGCUGAUUCUGUAUGUGAUUGGAGACUUUUGUCUCUGAUACAGCAACUGUAUUGCUGUAUUUGUAUGUUAUAGAGACUUGUCUCUGGGACAGCACGUGUAUUGGUGUUUAUGUCUGAUUCAGUGUUAUAUAUUAUAUUUGUUACUUUACGGAAUGGUGUUAUAUUAUAUACAGAGAAAUCCUAGGUAAGAGUUUGCAAUGCUUCAGGUUUUUUUCAUCUGUCAAUUUAUAACGUGUAAUCAUUAAGUUUUUAUUAGAUGUAUUUCCUUUUUUUUUUCUCUCCCGUUCCUUAUGGAUAUGUAUGACCUGACUAGGAUUUUAUUGUCCUUAUUUUGGCUUAUAAUGUGAAAUGUAAGGAGAAUACUUAAAAGUGCCUAUAUAAGAUGCAAAGGUGCCAUAUUGGAUUGAAAGACAUUUGAAAUUUCUCUGAUAUCUGUAACUUUGGACACUGUAUUUAUUGUCUGUAGAUCCUUAAAAUGUUUUACCUCUGCCAUUUAGUUUUAUAAAGAGCUUUGGAUCAUAAUUAUUCAUGAUAUAAUCUCUUACACGAGAAAAACUGCCUAUUUGUUCUUUUUAAUUCUGCACCAUUUAUUUCUUUACGUACAGUUCAGUUGUACAUUAAAAUUAAGCUGUUGUAAGAUUCCUUGCCAAAGUGUCGUAGUUACUAAAAAAGGGAGGUACAUUGAGAGGAUAACUCAUUAUGUUGCAUAAGGAGCUUUCCUGUAACGGUGUAUUUGGGAUCUGAUCAAAUGGGUGCUUCAUAUACGCGAAUCCUCAUCCUUUUUUCGUAAAGUGCACAUGUCAGGAUUUGUUGCAUUGUGCCACUCAUAAGUUAAAAUCAAAUGCUUUAUAUAGUUUAAGUUUGAUCAUUUUUUUUUUGGCAUUAUGCUUGUCAAUUUUAAAGAGCAUUUCAGUGCCCUUUUAAUUGGGAAAUGUUUUAGAUGACUUUUGGGCGGGCUUAUAGUUUUCCUAUUUACGUUAUACUUUUUUUUUUUUUUUUUUUUUUUUUUCUUUUUUUUUUUUUUUUGUUA